UGAAAUGCAAAGAUGGAGAAUAGUAAAGGUGUGAUGUUUCACAGAAAGCGGAUUGGUGAUGAGAGAUCUGCAAACUAGCUUCUUGAACCCGCUCCGGAGCAUAUGACGAGCAAGUCAUUACGUUGAAUCACGUUACGAUUAAUAAAGUGAGCCGGGAACGGCUAAUUAGGGUGGUACCGCGGGUAACUCUCGUCCCUUUA
RNAcentral lists this non-coding RNA (200 nucleotides) under Geosporobacter ferrireducens. RNAcentral's name for it is "T-box sequence". It matches the Rfam family "T-box leader". Rfam says of the family: Uncharged tRNA acts as the effector for transcription antitermination of genes in the T-box leader family. Lineage: Bacteria; Bacillati; Bacillota; Clostridia; Peptostreptococcales; Thermotaleaceae. The record is from RNAcentral.